This 495-nucleotide ribosomal RNA is filed under the name uncultured bacterium. RNAcentral's name for it is "partial 16S ribosomal RNA". It matches the Rfam family "Bacterial small subunit ribosomal RNA", at positions 28 to 505 of the family's 1533-position model. The record is from RNAcentral.
GAUGAACGCUGGCGGCGUGCCUAAUACAUGCCAGUCGAGCGAACGGACGAGAAGCUUGCUUCUCUGAUGUUAGCGGCGGACGGGUGAGUAACACGUGGAUAACCUACCUAUAAGACUGGGAUAACUUCGGGAAACCGUAGCUAAUACCGGAUAAUAUUUUGAACCGCAUGGUUCAAAAGUGAAAGACGGUCUUGCUGUCACUUAUAGAUGGAUCCGCGCUGCAUUAGCUAGUUGGUAAGGUAACGGCUUACCAAGGCAACGAUGCAUAGCCGACCUGAGAGGGGGAUCGGCCACGCUGGAACUGAGACACGGGCCAGACUCCUACGGGAGGCAGCAGUAGGGAAUCUUCCGCAAUGGGCGAAAGCCGGACGGAGCAACGCCGCGUGAGUGAUGAAGGUCUUCGGAUCGGAAAACUCUGUUAUUAGGGAAGAACAUAUGUGUAAGUAACUGUGCACAUCGUGACGGUACCUAAUCAGAAAGCCACGGCUAACUACG